This 778-nucleotide ribosomal RNA is filed under the name Leptogium sp. RNAcentral's name for it is "SSU rRNA". It matches the Rfam family "Bacterial small subunit ribosomal RNA", at positions 370 to 1210 of the family's 1533-position model. The record is from RNAcentral. Lineage: Eukaryota; Fungi; Ascomycota; Lecanoromycetes; Peltigerales; Collemataceae.
AAUAGCCUAACGGCUGAACCAGCAACUUGGAGGAAUGUAUAGCUUAGCUAAAUGUUUUUUGUUAAAAAAAAACAUAUUCGAUUUAUUCGUAUAAAAUUCUAGGUAGAAUUAUGAUAAUGACAUUAUCUAUCUAUAAGUCUUGACCAACAUGCGUGCCAGCAGUCGCGGUAAGACGCUAAAGACUAGUGUUAUUCAUCUUAAUUGGUUUAAAGGGUACCUAGACGGUAAAUUAAGCCUUAAGGGGUACUAAUUUAACUAGAGUUAGAUGUAAGGGUGCAUUAACGUACUAUUGAGUGUAGAGAUGAAAUUCUGUCAUACCAGAUGAUUGGCACGGGUUUAGGCGAAAGCAUCACCUUAUGUAAUAACUGACGUUGAGGGACGAAGGCUUUGUAUCGCAAAAAGGAUUAGUUACCCUCGUAGUCUAAGCAGAAAAUGAUGAAUGUCAUAGGUUAAAUAUUAUUUAGUCUAUAAAUGAAAGUGUAAGCAUUCCACCUCAAGAGUAAUUUGGCAACAUUGGAAUUGAAAUCAUUAGACCGUUUCUGAAACCAGUAGUGAAGUAUGUUGUUUAAUUAGAUGGUCCACAAAGAACCUUACCACAAUUUGAAUAUUUUACAAGCGUUGCACGGCUGUCUACAGUUAAUGUCGUGAGACUGUGGUUAGUUCCAUUAAAUUAACGUAAACCCUUACUUUAUUUUAUUUUAUAUAAAGUAGUUCGCCGCUAUAUUGGUAUAGAUAAAAGGGAAUAUGACAAGUCAUCAUGACCUUACAUACAUAUUGU